UACGUAGGGGGCAAGCGUUGUCCGGAAUCAUUGGGCGUAAAGCGCGCGUAGGCGGCCCGGUAAGUCCGCUCUGAAAGUCCAGGGCUCAACCCUGGAAAGCGGGUGGAUACUGCCGGGCUAGAAUCCGGAAGAGGCGAGUGGAAUUCCUGGUGUAGCGGUGGAAUGCGCAGAGAUCGGGAGGAACACCCGUAGCGAAGGCGGCACUCUGGGCCGGUACUGACGCUGAGGAGCGAAAGCGUGGGGAGCGAACAGG
RNAcentral lists this ribosomal RNA (253 nucleotides) under uncultured bacterium. RNAcentral describes it as "partial 16S ribosomal RNA". It matches the Rfam family "Bacterial small subunit ribosomal RNA", at positions 524 to 776 of the family's 1533-position model. The record is from RNAcentral.